Molecule: long non-coding RNA, 600 nt
Filed under: Homo sapiens (human)
Lineage: Eukaryota; Metazoa; Chordata; Mammalia; Primates; Hominidae
Description: non-protein coding lnc-AKR1C2-6:1
Source: RNAcentral
AUAAUAGAAUUCUCAUGAGAUCUGGUUGUUUGAAAGUGUGUAGCACCUCCACCUUCUCUCUCUCUCUCCCUCUCCCUCUCCUGCCAGCCAAGUGAAGACAUGCUUACUUCCCCUUCACCUUCCUUCAUGAUGUGGGAAGAGUGCUGCAACCCAGCCCUAGCCAACGCCGCAUGAGAGGGAGUGUGCCGAGGGCUUCUGAGAAGGUUUCUCUCACAUCUAGAAAGAAGCGCUUAAGAUGUGGCAGCCCCUCUUCUUCAAGUGGCUCUUGUCCUGUUGCCCUGGGAGUUCUCAAAUUGCUGCAGCAGCCUCCACCCAGCCUGAGGAUGACAUCAAUACACAGAGGAAGAAGAGUCAGGAAAAGAUGAGAGAAGUUACAGACUCUCCUGGGCGACCCCGAGAGCUUACCAUUCCUCAGACUUCUUCACAUGGUGCUAACAGAUUUUUACCAUUGGAAUGACAUACUGCAUCCUAUAGUUAUACCAUCCACUCUGAAAUCAAUGUGAAUUUAACUUCAGUUCCAUACAGAAACUUCUUUUCCACAGACUCAGGAAUUUCAAGUGUGCUAUCCCUAUGUGUAUUGAUUAUAUCUUCAUCCUGCUC